RNAcentral lists this ribosomal RNA (468 nucleotides) under uncultured bacterium. RNAcentral's name for it is "partial 16S ribosomal RNA". It matches the Rfam family "Bacterial small subunit ribosomal RNA", at positions 28 to 507 of the family's 1533-position model. The record is from RNAcentral.
GACGAACGCUGGCGGCGUGCUUAACACAUGCAAGUCGAACGGAAAGGCCCUGCUUUUGUGGGGUGCUCGAGUGGCGAACGGGUGAGUAACACGUGAGUAACCUGCCCUUGACUGUGGGAUAACUUCAGGAAACUGGGGCUAAUACCGGAUAGGAGCUCCUGCUGCAUGGUGGGGGUUGGAAAGUUUCGGCGGUUGGGGAUGGACUCGCGGCUUAUCAGCUUGUUGGUGGGGUAGUGGCUUACCAAGGCUUUGACGGGUAGCCGGCCUGAGAGGGUGACCGGCCACAUUGGGACUGAGAGACGGCCCACACUCCUACGGGAGGCAGCAGGGGGGAAUAUUGCACAAUGGGCGGAAGCCUGAUGCAGCAACGCCGCGUGCGGGAUGACGGCCUUCGGGUUGUAAACCGCUUUCGCCUGUGACGAAGCGUGAGUGACGGUAAUGGGUAAAGAAGCACCGGCUAACUACGUG